UGGCUCCUUGGUCAAGCGGUUAAGACAUCGCCCUUUCACGGCGGUAACACGAGUUCGAUUCUCGUAGGAGUCAU
Molecule: transfer RNA, 74 nt
Filed under: Blautia sp. St.27G3
Lineage: Bacteria; Bacillati; Bacillota; Clostridia; Lachnospirales; Lachnospiraceae
Also listed under: 1 other name
Description: tRNA-Glu
Rfam family: tRNA
About the family: Transfer RNA (tRNA) molecules are approximately 80 nucleotides in length. Their secondary structure includes four short double-helical elements and three loops (D, anti-codon, and T loops).
Source: RNAcentral